This 1734-nucleotide ribosomal RNA is filed under the name Triticum aestivum (bread wheat). Its description in RNAcentral is "partial small subunit ribosomal RNA". The record is from RNAcentral. Lineage: Eukaryota; Viridiplantae; Streptophyta; Magnoliopsida; Poales; Poaceae.
AUGGACCCAGCGUUGCACAAGGCGGCGGUGCAGGGGAGCGUGGCAAGCCUGAAGAAGCUGGUGGCCGAGAACCCCAACAUCCUUGGUUCCAAGACGCCCCAGCAGAACACCGCGCUGCACAUCGCCGCCGAGCUCGGCCACGCCGGCUUCGCCGAGGCGGCCCUUGGUGUGGACGACAAGCUGCUCGUCAGCAAGAACGCUGACGGGGACACGCCGCUGCACCUGGCGGCCAGGGCGGGGAAGGUGGACGUGGCGGACCUGCUCAUCGGCCGAGCCAGCGCAUGGCCCGCGGAGCAUCCGCGCCACUCCCCCGCCGCGCAGAAUGGAAAGGCCGGGGAACCUCCCCGGAGCUCCCCUGGCACCGCGCAGGGGCCUCUGUUCAUGGCCAACAAGGUCGGCGACACCCCGCUGCACGAGGCGGUGAAGCACGGCAGGAGCGCCGUCGCGCUCAGGCUGCUGGAUGCCGAGCCCGGCCGCGGCCACGCGCUCAACGUGAAGCAGCAGACGCCGCUGCACAUCGCUGCACGGGAGGGCCUCGCCGACGUCGUCGCCAAGAUCGUCAGCCAACCCUGGGUCCACGAGAAGUUCGUCCCCUCCGACUCCGUCAGCGGCACCGCCCUUCACCAGGCCGUCCUCGGCGGCCACGCACGCGUGGUGGAGAUCCUGCUUGACGCGACACCGCCGGACCAGAUCGGGCUGACGGACUCGAGCGAGAACAACGCGCUGCACUACGCGGCGCAGAAGAACAACGCCCGCGUGGUGAAGCUGCUGCUCAACCGGAAGGUGGACCUGGCCUACAAGCGCAACCGCGACCUGCAGUCGCCGCUGCACGUGGCCGCCUACUACGGCUCGACGGAUGCCAUGGUGGAGCUGCUCAAGCAGUGCCCCGACGUGGCGGAGAUGGUGGACAGCAACGGCCGGAACGCCUUCCACGUCGCCAUCACCAGCGGCAAGGUGGACGCCCUCAAGCGCCUGCUCAAGCACGUCCGCCCCGAGGAGAUCGUCAACCGCGUCGACCGCGCCGGCAACACGCCGCUGCACCUCGCCGCCUCCCUAUCGCGCAUCCAGUCGGCGCUGCUCCUGCUCAAGGACCGCCGCGUCAACCCCUGCGUCCUCAACCGGGAGGGCCAGUCCGCGCGCAGCCUCAUCGAGAAGCGCGCCGCCACGGAGGAGAUGGACACCUAUGAGAUGUACCUGUGGAAGACGCUCAAGAAGCACGAGGCCUCCAGGUGCAAGAAGGAGCAGCUGCCUCCGAUCGCCACUUACCAGUCGCUGCGCAGCCGGAGGGCUGGCCACGACGAGUACUACGAGCUCAGCGUCGGGACCUACACGCUGGUGGCCACGCUGAUCGCCACCGUCAGCUUUGCGGCCACCUUCACCAUGCCAGGGGGGUACAGCCAGACCGAUGGCACGGCCCUCCACGGCCACAAGGCGGCGUUCAAGAUCUUCGUUAUCUCCAACACUGUGGCCAUGUGCAGCUCCAUCGUCGUCGUCUUCUGCUUCAUCUGGGCAUGGCGGGACCCCGUCAAGUUCAAGCUCGAUCAGCUCAUGUGGGGCCACAGGCUCACCAUCCUCGCCUGCCUCGCCAUGGUCGUCUCGCUCAUGACCGCCGUCUACAUCACCGUUGCGCCCACGGCGAGGUGGCCUGCGUACGUUGUGAUCGCCAUCGGAGUCAGCACUCCCGCCGUGGUGUUCCUCAUCCUUGGGAAAGAGGCGUUGUACGUCCCAAUGUAA